RNAcentral lists this ribosomal RNA (253 nucleotides) under uncultured bacterium. RNAcentral describes it as "partial 16S ribosomal RNA". It matches the Rfam family "Bacterial small subunit ribosomal RNA", at positions 524 to 776 of the family's 1533-position model. The record is from RNAcentral.
UCCGUAGGGUGCAAGCGUUAAUCGGAAUUACUGGGCGUAAAGGGUGCGCAGGCGGCCGAGCAAGUCGAGUGUGAAAGCCCCGAGCUUAACUUGGGAACUGCGCUCGAAACUACUUGGCUAGAGUGUGGCAGAGGGAGGUGGAAUUCCACGUGUAGCGGUGAAAUGCGUAGAGAUGUGGAGGAACACCGAUGGCGAAGGCAGCCUCCUGGGCCAACACUGACGCUCAUGCACGAAAGCGUGGGGAGCAAACAGG